GUGUUUUCAGAUUGUAAGACCAGGGGGUUUAUUUAGUGGGCAUUCUGAGAUAAAAAAUAUUUAUGUAAAAUACUAUGAUUACCAGUCAGUCAACUUGAACAGCGUAUUUUUAUAUGUUACUGUGUAUGUAUAGUCAUGCUAUAAUUGAGUUCAGGAACAAUUUUGCAUUGUUUUAUUUUAUAGCUCUAAAAUACAAUACUUCACCAGCAACAGAACAUACUAGGCUUACCGAUGUUUGGAAAAAUUCCUGUAAUGUUUUUAGCUACUUAUAUGUUUCAAACUUCAAUUAAAAUUUUCCAUAUUUGCACAAUUUAGUGGUCAUCUCUGUGUACUCGUUUAGAUAUGGCAGCCAUUUUGUGCUAUGCCACAUUUUUACAGCAGCCAUUUUGUAAUAUGCCAUGUUUCCCCCAACGGCAACCAUUUCAUGACUGAUGCCCAAGGCACAUUUUCAGAAUUCUGAAUUUGUCCAUGGACCCAGAAAGGUUAGCAAACCUCUUGCAUAGGCAAUACUAAGCUAGAUGGAUCAAUAGUCAGACUCAGUGUAAGGAACUUUUCCGUGUACCAUGAAUCAGAAGACCCUGCCUCAUGUGCUUAGUACUGCCCUAAACUUCAUGGAUUACAGUGGGGGGAAAUUAGACCUAUGCUUUACUCACAUUUUGAGAGCAAUAGACCUUAUUAGUACUGAACUCUGGCAACAUUAUACCCACAUAUGUACAAUCGCCAGUUUUUAAAGAUUAAAAGUUUUUUGUUUUGUUUUAUAAAAAAACACCUCAAAAGUGAAAAAUAACAUCGAACAACUCUUUAUUAUUAAUGGGGUUCUCACAAAUUUCAUGUAUGAGGGGACUUCAAAGAGGCUGUAGCUCUGCCCCUGUACCAAUGACCAAUGUGCCAGCCAUGCUCCAACAGGACUGCCAAUUCAGUGGCAGUGUGCAGGGGCUCUACAUUCACACUAAUGUGUGGCUCUUUCACAUAUGCAUGUCCCACUUUUCCACACGUGCUUUCAAGACAUGGGUUUUAUGUGCAUCCCUUUAUCUUUGUAGUUUAUGGCACAUCACAUAUAUAUUUCACUCAAAUUCUAAUGAUGCAGGUUAAAACCACCUCCAGCAGCAGAAAACUUCCUAACUAGAGAGUCAAAUCAAGCUAACGACAUAUUGUAUUGCUUCCUUUAUCGAGUCAAAAGGUGCAUUUAUCAUAUUCAGCUGAUAAAAGUGGUGAUAAAUGUACUUUAUAUCCAGAAGAAAGAUUGGUUACCAACAUAGUCAGUAGUAACUUACAAUUUUUCCAUCUUAAAAAGAAUAUUGUUCACUUCAGAAAAGCUCAUUUUUCUCCCUGUUGCAGGAACAAUGCCAAGAAGAAAAAUAGUAAUUUCAUCCAUAACUCAGGGAUGAAGAAACCGUGGGCAGUCAAAUGCUGUUGAACUGCAACUCCCAUCAUGGCUGACUACUACAUGUGGGUUGAUGGGGGUUUGGAGUCCAUCUAGAGGGCCACAAGUUCCCCAUCCCUAUCUUUUCUCCACUGACUUUCUUCCUGAAUAUACCCUAGAUACCUUUGCUUUUGGAAUUCUACAUUCCUCAGGUUCAUGGCUGUAAAACCAUUACCCUACCCCUUUCUCCUGGAAUGCCCUCCUACACCAUCUGUGAUUCUACCUCCAUCCUCCUUUUCCAGGCUGAUCAUUCCCAUGAAGCCCUUGCUUAACCCCAGCUCCUGAAGUCUUUAUCCUCUACCACAAUAAAAUCAAGGCCAUUGUCUCCGCACACAUUCAUAUAUUGUUGCCCUUCAGAUACCUGUCCCUACAAUCUUACUGCAGUAUUAAAAGAUUGUAAGCUCCUGGGCAAUGGUCUGCUUUUUUCUUUUUUAUGUUGCAAACGGCAGUGUGAUGCUUGCUGCUUUGUAGGAGGUGGUAGCGUGGCUACUCCUGGAAGAAAAACCGCGAGAACCAGAUAGUAUUUAUCAACUACCACCCAGUCACAUAUUCCCUUUUGGGGCAAUGUACUGGACAGUAUCAUAGUGAUAUAGUUGCAGGCAUUCUUAAGAGGAAACAGAUUAUCUAGCCUCUUUCUAAUCUUGGUUGAGACUUGGGUUCAGGACUGAGUCUGCCACAGUCACCUCGGUGGAUGGUCUUUAUCAGAAGGGGGCUGCUCCUUCUCAAUCUCUCAUCAGCUUUUGAGUGCAUCAACUAUGGUUUCCAAGAGAUUGUAUCAAAGACACUGUUGUGAAUCGUUUCUGGUUUGGGAUACUUCCAGAUGAUAGCACUGGAUGAGUGUCUCUAGUCCACCCAGUUUUGGAAUGCCACAGGGUAGUAUCAUAUCUCCAAUGUUAUUUAGGAUCUGUAUGAAGCUGCUGGGAACAGUAAUUAGGAGAUCUGGAGUGAUGUGCCAUCGCUAAUCAGGAAUGGCCACGCAGGCCCUGGAUCAGUGCCUGGUUGGAGUGAUGGGCUGGCUGAGGACUAAUAAACUGUGUCUGGCACAGAUGGCAACUCUGUGGAUGAGUGACUUCCAGGUCUGGUUGCUUCUCCUCUAUGAAGUUACUCUCUUCCAGAAGGAGCAGGUGCAUAGUCUGCAAGUGCUCCUAGAUCCAGCUCUAGGAGGUGCUUGCUGUACAAAAGUCCUCAGUAGCUAGGACUGCCUUUUACCAGCUUCAACUGGUAUGGCAGCUACAGCCAUUUCUGGACGAGUAUAGCUUGAUCACAGUUGUCUAUGCCUAAGUAACCACAAGGUUAGGUUACUGGAAUUUGUUCUGUGAGGGGCAACCCUUGAGGUCGGUCCAGAAACUACAGCUAGAGCAGAACACAGCAGCUAGGUUGUUUGUGAGGGCAAACUACUCCCAGCAUGUAACAUCUUUUUUAAUGGAAUUUGCACUGGCUGGGAAUCUACUAUCAGGCCAAGUUUAAUUUUUUGGUAACAACAUGAAAGACCCUACACAGGACCAGGUUACUUGAGAGACCACUCUAUCCGUUGUAUACCCAGGUCAUAACAUUCUGCAGGAGUUUCUCCUUUUAAGUCCUUAAAAUAUCAGCCCAUUCCACAGUAACUUGGGGCAGGGCUUCAGUGUGGCUGCUCUUGUUCUGUAGAACAUCCCUGUUAAGAUACGACAGAUAAGACAUGGAACAGCGAAUAUGUUUUUGUUUCAACAUGUUUUUUUCAGAUGAAAGGGUCUCGGCCUUAUUUUGUAUUGUUUUUAAACCCAUCUUCAGGGUUUUUUUUGGUACUGUUUUAAAACUAAUUUAUGUGUUUAUUUGAUGUGAAAUAACUACAACAACAACAACAACUUAUUCCUAGAUACCAGAAAUCCCAAGUGGGAAUAGCAGUGUUGCACUCAGAUUCUGCUUGCAGACUUCCAUUAACAACUGAUUGGACACAGUAAGAAGACGAUGCUGGCCUGGAUGGCCCUUUGGUCUGAUCUAGCAGGACUCUUCUUAGGUACUUAUCAUGUAUUUCUUUUGAAGAAAAGCAACUACUGUUUUGCUGUAUCAUCUCCAGUCUCCUUCACUUCCACACACAUUUAUUCUCUAUCAAUUUGCUUCAACUUCUCAUCAUUGACUUUUUAAUAUCGUCCCUCCCCUCCCUUGCUUUUCAAUUUAAAGCUUCUUUGAGAUGCUUUUUUCUCCUUCAGUUAGCAACCAGAUUCCUUUAUAUUAACCCACUGAACAUGUGGUUUACAGGUGUGAUAUGGAGUUAUUCUCUUUUAGGUUCACCUAGCUAGCUUCUUUCCAAUCUGGCCUCCAUCCCCUAUAUUUCACUGAAUUAUCUUAAAUCAACAUUUAAAAUAAGGUGAGAAUCAGGGCUCCCCUGCUCACUAGAAUUGAUAUAUGAAAUGCCUAUUAUCUGAACAGUCAGAAAGAGGUAACAACUUCUGCUGACUUUUCCUUUUGAGCAUUUAGUAAACUAUAGUAAUGCUGGUGACCUACCUGCUAUAAAUGCUGUUAACAGUAUAAAUAAUAUUAAUGUUAUUUUGUUCAAAAUGUCUUAGAUAUGGCAGCCCCCUUUAUGUCACUUUUAUUUCUGGCAGUGCAGAGCUAGAAACAUAUCAAGAGUACAAUUCAGUCAACUGAAGUCCCUCCCCCAAGUUUUGUUUAUUUCUAUGAGAGAUAUGUAUACUCCAAUCCUGCGCAGUUAUUUGUGCCUAAGACUAUUGAAACAAUGGUACAUAGAAUCAGGCAGCCAAGCACAUAUUUGCAGUUGAAAUCAUGGUAUUAAAAACCAUGCUCAUAAGGAGGUUUCACGUUCAUGGUUUUAAUCAUAUGGCAAGGUCUGGGCCUUGACCAAUGAGUUUUAAUAUGUAAAAGGGCACACAGUCAUUACAUCUAGAUAGAUUCUGACUUGACCUUAGGAACCCAUCAAUCCCUGUUUAAUAAGCGGUGAAAAUUAGUAUCAUCGCUUGCUAAAAUAUGAGGCAUUUCACACAAAGCACAGAGAGUACCCCUGAACAAGGAAGUGCAGCCACUAACUGCUCCCUGACUAAUGUACCUUUAUAUGACACAUGCAUUUGUCAUCCUUUAAAUUUGUAGGAAUACAUCUAAAAAGGCAAUACGUGAAAUGUUCCUGUGAGAGUUGUCUGGUUCUCUUGGUGGUGGGUGGUGAGAGGAUAACAACCUGAUCUUAUGGGAGGAGUGAUACCUGUCUCCUUUUAUCGACAUCUGUCUGACACAUCAUUGUGUGGGCCCCUGAGUACCACUCGACAGCACUGCACAUGCCAAUCCUAGUAUGUGGUAUAUAGUGCAGUCCAAGCACGCAGGAAAGGCACUGUGGCACCUUAAAAGACCGGCCGUGGGUUAGCUGGUGUGUACGCCCAUAAAAUGCACUAAAUCUUCAAGGUGGCAACCCUAUCCAUAUUUACGGGGGGGGGGGGGGAGCAAGCCUCAGCGAGCAAAAUGGGGGCUUCCUCUCGUGUAAAUGCGCGCAGGGUUGUGUCGCAAGGUGCCAGAAGCUUCCUGCCUGUGUCCGGGGUGAACACCUCGUCCGCCUGGCUGUGGCUGCGUGUCCCCC
This 4985-nucleotide long non-coding RNA is filed under the name Podarcis lilfordi (Lilford's wall lizard). Lineage: Eukaryota; Metazoa; Chordata; Lepidosauria; Squamata; Lacertidae. The record is from RNAcentral.